CACCCAGGAAGGAGGGGCUUAGCUUCGGCCGCCAUUCUGAGGCAGCCACCUCCACCCCCACCCCCACCGCAACAGCCAGCCAAGGCGCUAGGAGUCUCCAGCUGCCGGCCUCAGCUGGUGCACUAGUACCGCAGUCCCAGCACCUUGCCCGGAAUCCCGUCACCCCGCAGGAUGGGGCAGGGACAGGUCAUCUUCAAGCCAAGGGAAGAGCAGGUUCACUGCCACCCGCGAUCCCCUUUUCUUCCUGGAUCUUACAGCCAGGCUAGGGGGCGUCGAACCCAAUGGGGCCUUAGAUCAUUCCUUGUCCGGAACAGAAUCUCUGCGGAACCGCCAGACAGACACACAGCUGCUGCUGCGGAUACUGGCUUCUUGGGGCCAAGACCUCAACAUGCAGGACCUCACAUUUCCAGCGAUGCACACGUUUUUUGAGAACAUCCCGACCUUUCCUCCUCCCCAGGAAGAUGCUGCAGACGUGCCCGCCAUCCCAGGUCUCGAAGAGCUCUUAAGGCAAACCUCCGGCACCCGGGCCACACCCACCGGCCGGCCCACUCUCCUCGCGCAUCCCCCAACCUGCCGGCCUAAGGGGAAUGGUUCCCUUCCCUGGCCACAUGGUAGACCCUUCUCCCAUCCAGCCCUUUCUCCCACACCAUCCCGAAAGAACUAUUCAUCCAUCCUUCCAGAACAGUACCCCGGCAAACGGCAUCUCUCACCUGGGUAUCGAACCCGUUUUCCACCGAGCCGCUCUUCCGCAGCGGGAGCCCCUCCCCCGCUGGCUCCUGCAGCCCCUGCAGCACCUGCGAUUUCAGGGGGAUCUGGCUAGGAUAGGUGGUCUUGCUCACCUCCACCUUGCUUCCCAACUUCAGGUAGCAGGGCUGGGGGCCCGCCCGGGCCGGGGGCACGUGCAGGAUGGGCGCGGCGCUGUGCACGGGUUUGGGCAGUCCCGACUUCAUUUUGGAGGCGACCAGGAUGGCCGGCAUCUUCUCCCGGGGCUUGGGCUUUCCCAGCACGUCCCUGGCAGCGGCGGCGGGGGCGACCGCUAAAGGCAGCGCGGGUAGCAGAGCAGGCGCCGGGCCUUAGCCCACGAGGCGCCCACCACCAGCGGCUAAAAAAAAAAUCCCCAGGUCGGGGAACUCGAAGCAAUCGGGCGAGCGCGCCUUUGGGGUGCCGGGAUGGGAAUGGGGGACUGGCCACGGCGCUCAGCGGGUCCCACCUGGACGGAUGCUGCCGCCGGGUCUCACACCUCUCCUGGGUGGCCUUUCAAGAGCUCUGGGCGCUCAGGGGCUGCCGCCUCUUGCAAAUUUCCUCCUGGGAAACAGAGGCUUGGACGCCCAUAUUAACUUGUCACUGCAUCUCCGAAGUGAGGAGGCCCCUUUGGAAGAGACAGAGGCGGCGGCGACCCACGAGUCCCGUUCCGGAGGCUACGGGUCUGAGCCGGCGAGAGAAAGAGCGAGCAGCCAAGGAAGGAAAGGAGACAGCAGCGAAGGAAGGAGAGAAGAAGGGCGCAAGGGUCCCAAGACGUCUCCACCGAGAGGCAGCUGCCACCCUGCUCGCGAGCACCGCAGUGUCACCCGCGACGCAGCAGAGGUGCGGCAAGAGCCCCCGAAAGGUCUCUCUUGGGGUGACAGUCACCGCUGCCCAGAAGGCCCCCGGACUGAGAGCACCUUAGCGCCUGCGGGUCUGCACAUGCUCCGUGAGCUAGAUAGAGGCAAGGCUGUGGCCGUGGGGCGCGGGCGCCGGGACGCGCGGCUGGCGGGCCGGGCAGGGCUGCGCUCGGGAGCGGCCGCCGCGCUUCCCGGGAAGGCUGCGCUGGCUGCGGGGCUCAGCGCAGGGGAGGACAGGCUGCUGCCGGCGCUGCUGCGGCGCGCGCUGACAGCCGGGGCCGCCCCGGCGCGCCCAUUGGUCCACGGUGCGCCAAUCAGCGGCCGCGGGUCUCACUGCAAAGAGGGUGUGGCCUAAACUCUGGCCGCCGCCGAAACUCUGGGGCCGCGCUUGGCCGCGAGUACAAAGCGGGCUGGUGGCCGCUUUGCGGCACUGCCCCGGCCGCGCGCCUCCCGGGGGGCCCACACCCCUGCGUUCCUGAAACCCUUCUUUUGAAAAAUGCCCUUUCGAACGCAACCGUCCGCCCCAGAGCCACGCGGGCACGGCUCGAGGGAAGUUUGUUUCCUUUUUCAAAUUGCUCCGGUCACCUUAACGGUUUGAGUCUUCCGGAGUCACGCCCGCAGCCUCGCUGCCCCCAUCUGGCUUGGGCAGGGCCGAAGCUCGUCUCCCGCUUUAAGAGCGCGCCAGCCAUUUCUCUGCCUGCUCUUCCAGGCCGGCUGGGCGGGGGGCCUCCCAACGGCUUCCUCUCCAGUUUUCAAAGGCUGCACAUUUCACUUAACUAUUUGAAGUAUUUAUAGGCAAAUACAAUACGCAGGGAAGCUUCCCGCCCCGAGACAGCUCCUCCACGCAACCUACCACAGACUCUGUAAUUAGAGUGGCCUGAAGAAGCCGGGAGAGGCUCCAUGACCCCGGCAGGCUCUGGCCAAACCUUGCUGCGUUUCAUGGAGCCCCUCCCUGUCCGCGCCUGGGACGCACUGGCCCCAACAGGUUCCUCGACUCGAAUUCGCUGUUUGGGUUGCUCUGUGGUUUCCUCGCUGACUGAAAGUGGAUGAGAAUAAGAAGGAAACUGAGAGAUGAUCAGGCAGGCCAGCCUUCGCGAUUUAUGAAUGAGGAGCCUCCCACCCUGUAGAACUGCUUGGAUUAGAAGUGGGCAAGUUAUUUAAGCUUACAUGCAUGCUUAUAAAGCUUCUGUUUUCACAUGUAGUAAGGUGGAGGCUUGACGACAUUUACCUAAUGAGCUGUUGUUUGGAUUAAAUGAGAUGGUUGGUGCAUGGCAGUCAUUUAGCACAAGUACCUGGCAAUGUAAGAGACCAAUAAAAGCUGGGCUUUAUUUUCCCUGUUGUUAAAUUACUGCUGCUUUCCCCCAAAGUCAUCUCUGUUUAUAAACUAUUUGUCUUUCUUCUUUGUUUCCAGGACACUUUGUGCCCACCCUAUAGCCUGAUCUUCAGUGCUGAUAGCAUUGAUUUAGAAUAACUCAGAUGCUAUUAACUCUGUCCCCCUGGAAUUCAUGUUAAACCCGUAAUCCCCAGUGUGAUGGUAUUAGGAGGUGGGGAACUUUAGGAGGUAAUAAGGUCAAGACAGUGGAGCCCUCAUGAUAGGAUUAGCACUCUUAUUAGAAGAGACAGGAGAGAGAUGCUUUCUUACUGCCUUGUGAGGACACAGAAGGCAGUCUUCUGUGGACCAGGAAGAGGGCCCUUACCAAGAAUCUGAUACCGUGUUGGCAUCCUAGUCUCAGACUUCCAGCCUCUAGUACUGUAAGAAAUAAAUGUUUGUUGUUUAAGCCAUCCUGUUUAUGGUAUUUUUGUUAUAGUGGCCCAAAGUGACAAAGAUCUCAGACCAGAGGAAACAUCAAAGUCUUAACCUCUGAAGCAUUAAGAAAUGAGAAGGCACCUUCUUAGCCAUUCUAGGUAGCAACUUUCUACUCUAGUUAGGCUGAAAUGCACGGCCCUGUCUAUGUCUGUUUCAGUUAUCCUCCCUCUCUCUGAAAUCAAGUCACACAUCAUUCAUGCUACUUACUUAACACUUUGCCCUUUGCCAUCUGAUGCCACCUCCCGUACUAUUGUCUCCCAUUAUUUAACCUGUUAUUUAUUGUUUCAUGCAUUCAUUUUCAUCUUAGAGAAUAAACAUCUUGGAAUUAGGA
Molecule: long non-coding RNA, 3739 nt
Filed under: Homo sapiens (human)
Lineage: Eukaryota; Metazoa; Chordata; Mammalia; Primates; Hominidae
Description: non-protein coding lnc-DBX1-6:1
Source: RNAcentral